RNAcentral lists this ribosomal RNA (1444 nucleotides) under uncultured organism. RNAcentral describes it as "SSU rRNA". It matches the Rfam family "Bacterial small subunit ribosomal RNA". The record is from RNAcentral.
ACGCUAGCUACAGGCUUAACACAUGCAAGUCGAGGGGCAUCAGGAAGAAAGCUUGCUUUCUUUGCUGGCGACCGGCGCACGGGUGAGUAACACGUAUCCAACCUGCCCUUUACUCGGGGAUAGCCUUUCGAAAGAAAGAUUAAUACCCGAUAGCAUAAUGAUUCCGCAUGGUUUCAUUAUUAAAGGAUUCCGGUAAAGGAUGGGGAUGCGUUCCAUUAGGUUGUUGGUGAGGUAACGGCCCACCAAGCCUUCGAUGGAUAGGGGUUCUGAGAGGAAGGUCCCCCACAUUGGAACUGAGACACGGUCCAAACUCCUACGGGAGGCAGCAGUGAGGAAUAUUGGUCAAUGGGCGCUAGCCUGAACCAGCCAAGUAGCGUGAAGGAUGAAGGCUCUAUGGGUCGUAAACUUCUUUUAUAUAAGAAUAAAGUGCAGUAUGUAUACUGUUUUGUAUGUAUUAUAUGAAUAAGGAUCGGCUAACUCCGUGCCAGCAGCCGCGGUAAUACGGAGGAUCCGAGCGUUAUCCGGAUUUAUUGGGUUUAAAGGGAGCGUAGGUGGACUGGUAAGUCAGUUGUGAAAGUUUGCGGCUCAACCGUAAAAUUGCAGUUGAUACUGUCAGUCUUGAGUACAGUAGAGGUGGGCGGAAUUCGUGGUGUAGCGGUGAAAUGCUUAGAUAUCACGAAGAACUCCGAUUGCGAAGGCAGCUCACUGGACUGCAACUGACACUGAUGCUCGAAAGUGUGGGUAUCAAACAGGAUUAGAUACCCUGGUAGUCCACACAGUAAACGAUGAAUACUCGCUGUUUGCGAUAUACAGUAAGCGGCCAAGCGAAAGCAUUAAGUAUUCCACCUGGGGAGUACGCCGGCAACGGUGAAACUCAAAGGAAUUGACGGGGGCCCGCACAAGCGGAGGAACAUGUGGUUUAAUUCGAUGAUACGCGAGGAACCUUACCCGGGCUUAAAUUGCAGUGGAAUGAUGUGGAAACAUGUCAGUGAGCAAUCACCGCUGUGAAGGUGCUGCAUGGUUGUCGUCAGCUCGUGCCGUGAGGUGUCGGCUUAAGUGCCAUAACGAGCGCAACCCUUAUCUUCAGUUACUAACAGGUCAUGCUGAGGACUCUGGAGAGACUGCCGUCGUAAGAUGUGAGGAAGGUGGGGAUGACGUCAAAUCAGCACGGCCCUUACGUCCGGGGCUACACACGUGUUACAAUGGGGGGUACAGAAGGCAGCUAGCGGGUGACCGUAUGCUAAUCCCAAAAUCCUCUCUCAGUUCGGAUCGAAGUCUGCAACCCGACUUCGUGAAGCUGGAUUCGCUAGUAAUCGCGCAUCAGCCACGGCGCGGUGAAUACGUUCCCGGGCCUUGUACACACCGCCCGUCAAGCCAUGGGAGCCGGGGGUACCUGAAGUACGUAACCGCAAGGAUCGUCCUAGGGUAAAACUGGUGACUGGGG